This is a non-coding RNA of Drosophila suzukii, 619 nucleotides long. NCBI's taxonomy places the organism in Eukaryota, Metazoa, Arthropoda, Insecta, Diptera, Drosophilidae. The record is from RefSeq and is a predicted model, not a curated record.
ACCAAAUUUCGAUGAAUGGUUAGCCGCAACGCAAAGAACAAAAAAUGUAAGCUUUCGGCGUGUGCAGUGCAGCUAAAAUAGGAUGUAUAAUCCAAGUCUUGUUUAAGUUGCCGACUCUUGUGGGACUUGAUCCACAGCUAGCAAUACUACAACAGGGCAAUCCGCAGAAUAGUGAAACUGCUGGAGAUAAUCCAAUCGAUAAUGGGAAGGAGCAUGACGAGUAAGACUUCGCUCCCUACAUGGACAUCCUGCCGAACUGGUGCACGCAAAAAACAGAACCACCAGUAUUAUGAUCUCUGACGAUCUCUCUAUUGGGGAAUCGCUGGAUUCCACCUCCAUCAGCUACUUCCCCAGUGCUGCCCUUUUGUCCUUUUCCGGACAGAUCUGUCCAAAUUUAAACUGCCUCAGCCGGAAAAAAAUUCAAACGUCCUCUGUUUGGAAAUCUGUCCUUUCGAACUGAGUUAAUUAUUUUGUUUCAAUCUAUCUUAUUUACUGAUAGACGCAUUAAAUAGACUUUUGGGUUUUGAGUUCUGAAUACCAAUCGGUGUAUGUAUGGUUACUACGGCGGUCGAUAAAAUGAAAUCUUCUUCUUACCCCUUCGCAUGGUUGAUUUAAAUGU